Molecule: ribosomal RNA, 432 nt
Filed under: uncultured archaeon
Lineage: Archaea
Description: bacterial SSU rRNA
Rfam family: Archaeal small subunit ribosomal RNA
Source: RNAcentral
UACCUGCAGCUCGAGUGGUGAUCACUAUUAUUGGGCCUAAAACGUCCGUAGCCGGUUUAUUAAAUGCCUGGGUAAAUCGUAUAGCUUAACUAUACGAAUUCCGGGUAGACUGUUAAACUUGAGACCGGGAGAAGCCGGAGGUACUCCUGGGGUAGAGGUGAAAUUCUGUAAUCCUAGGGGGACCACCAGUGGCGAAAGCGUCCGGCUAGAACGGGUCUGACGGUGAGGGACGAAGCCCUGGGGCGCAAACCGGAUUAGAUACCCGGGGUAGUCCAGGGUGUAAACGCUGCUUGCUUGAUGUUAGUCGGGCUCCGAGCCCGAUUAGUGUCGGAGAGAAGUUGUUAAGCAAGCUGCCUGGGAAGUACGGUCGCAAGACUAGAAACUUAAAGGAAUUGGGCGGGGAGCACAGACAACGGGAGGAGCGUGCGGUUU